GAUCUCGCCGGACCUGACAUGGGCUUCUCCCCAUCCAUCUUCUGUGUUCAGUGAAGCUAAUUUUGCAAAUGAACAAGGUCUGAUGGUGCCGAAGGUUUGCACUCACAAACAUCUCUACAAAUAACUCUCCUCAGAAGCACUUUUGGAUGGUUUGGAUGGUUCACCAGGCACUGAAGAAGUCAAUUCAGUAUAAUGGCACAUGAAAAACCAGAUUUGCAAAUUCUGGAGGAGGUCAAAAGUGAGUCAUCAUGCAUGGAUAAUGAAGAUGACCCUUAUGGUAAAACAUGCUUUCAUCACAGAAGAGUGGUGUGGGUGGAUGAUGAUGAUGAUGGCUUUGACUUGGCCAUGUGAGCCAAAGUUCCUGUGAC
Long non-coding RNA from Chinchilla lanigera (long-tailed chinchilla), 368 nucleotides. RefSeq lists it as uncharacterized. The transcript has 3 exons. The record is from RefSeq and is a predicted model, not a curated record. Lineage: Eukaryota; Metazoa; Chordata; Mammalia; Rodentia; Chinchillidae.